GGGUUGUGAGGUUAAGCGACUAAGCGUACACGGUGGAUGCCCUGGCAGUCAGAGGCGAUGAAGGACGUGCUAAUCUGCGAUAAGCGUCGGUAAGGUGAUAUGAACCGUUAUAACCGGCGAUUUCCGAAUGGGGAAACCCAGUGUGAUUCGUCACACUAUCAUUAACUGAAUCCAUAGGUUAAUGAGGCGAACCGGGGGAACUGAAACAUCUAAGUACCCCGAGGAAAAGAAAUCAACCGAGAUUCCCCCAGUAGCGGCGAGCGAACGGGGAGCAGCCCAGAGCCUGAAUCAGUGUGUGUGUUAGUGGAAGCGUCUGGAAAGGCGCGCGAUACAGGGUGACAGCCCCGUACACAAAAAUGCACAUGCUGUGAGCUCGAUGAGUAGGGCGGGACACGUGGUAUCCUGUCUGAAUAUGGGGGGACCAUCCUCCAAGGCUAAAUACUCCUGACUGACCGAUAGUGAACCAGUACCGUGAGGGAAAGGCGAAAAGAACCCCGGCGAGGGGAGUGAAAAAGAACCUGAAACCGUGUACGUACAAGCAGUGGGAGCACGCUUAGGCGUGUGACUGCGUACCUUUUGUAUAAUGGGUCAGCGACUUAUAUUCUGUAGCAAGGUUAACCGAAUAGGGGAGCCGAAGGGAAACCGAGUCUUAACUGGGCGUUAAGUUGCAGGGUAUAGACCCGAAACCCGGUGAUCUAGCCAUGGGCAGGUUGAAGGUUGGGUAACACUAACUGGAGGACCGAACCGACUAAUGUUGAAAAAUUAGCGGAUGACUUGUGGCUGGGGGUGAAAGGCCAAUCAAACCGGGAGAUAGCUGGUUCUCCCCGAAAGCUAUUUAGGUAGCGCCUCGUGAAUUCAUCUCCGGGGGUAGAGCACUGUUUCGGCAAGGGGGUCAUCCCGACUUACCAACCCGAUGCAAACUGCGAAUACCGGAGAAUGUUAUCACGGGAGACACACGGCGGGUGCUAACGUCCGUCGUGAAGAGGGAAACAACCCAGACCGCCAGCUAAGGUCCCAAAGUCAUGGUUAAGUGGGAAACGAUGUGGGAAGGCCCAGACAGCCAGGAUGUUGGCUUAGAAGCAGCCAUCAUUUAAAGAAAGCGUAAUAGCUCACUGGUCGAGUCGGCCUGCGCGGAAGAUGUAACGGGGCUAAACCAUGCACCGAAGCUGCGGCAGCGACGCUUAUGCGUUGUUGGGUAGGGGAGCGUUCUGUAAGCCUGUGAAGGUGUACUGUGAGGUAUGCUGGAGGUAUCAGAAGUGCGAAUGCUGACAUAAGUAACGAUAAAGCGGGUGAAAAGCCCGCUCGCCGGAAGACCAAGGGUUCCUGUCCAACGUUAAUCGGGGCAGGGUGAGUCGACCCCUAAGGCGAGGCCGAAAGGCGUAGUCGAUGGGAAACAGGUUAAUAUUCCUGUACUUGGUGUUACUGCGAAGGGGGGACGGAGAAGGCUAUGUUGGCCGGGCGACGGUUGUCCCGGUUUAAGCGUGUAGGCUGGUUUUCCAGGCAAAUCCGGAAAAUCAAGGCUGAGGCGUGAUGACGAGGCACUACGGUGCUGAAGCAACAAAUGCCCUGCUUCCAGGAAAAGCCUCUAAGCAUCAGGUAACAUCAAAUCGUACCCCAAACCGACACAGGUGGUCAGGUAGAGAAUACCAAGGCGCUUGAGAGAACUCGGGUGAAGGAACUAGGCAAAAUGGUGCCGUAACUUCGGGAGAAGGCACGCUGAUAUGUAGGUGAAGUCCCUCGCGGAUGGAGCUGAAAUCAGUCGAAGAUACCAGCUGGCUGCAACUGUUUAUUAAAAACACAGCACUGUGCAAACACGAAAGUGGACGUAUACGGUGUGACGCCUGCCCGGUGCCGGAAGGUUAAUUGAUGGGGUUAGCGCAAGCGAAGCUCUUGAUCGAAGCCCCGGUAAACGGCGGCCGUAACUAUAACGGUCCUAAGGUAGCGAAAUUCCUUGUCGGGUAAGUUCCGACCUGCACGAAUGGCGUAAUGAUGGCCAGGCUGUCUCCACCCGAGACUCAGUGAAAUUGAACUCGCUGUGAAGAUGCAGUGUACCCGCGGCAAGACGGAAAGACCCCGUGAACCUUUACUAUAGCUUGACACUGAACAUUGAGCCUUGAUGUGUAGGAUAGGUGGGAGGCUUUGAAGUGUGGACGCCAGUCUGCAUGGAGCCGACCUUGAAAUACCACCCUUUAAUGUUUGAUGUUCUAACGUGGACCCGUAAUCCGGGUUGCGGACAGUGUCUGGUGGGUAGUUUGACUGGGGCGGUCUCCUCCUAAAGAGUAACGGAGGAGCACGAAGGUUGGCUAAUCCUGGUCGGACAUCAGGAGGUUAGUGCAAUGGCAUAAGCCAGCUUGACUGCGAGCGUGACGGCGCGAGCAGGUGCGAAAGCAGGUCAUAGUGAUCCGGUGGUUCUGAAUGGAAGGGCCAUCGCUCAACGGAUAAAAGGUACUCCGGGGAUAACAGGCUGAUACCGCCCAAGAGUUCAUAUCGACGGCGGUGUUUGGCACCUCGAUGUCGGCUCAUCACAUCCUGGGGCUGAAGUAGGUCCCAAGGGUAUGGCUGUUCGCCAUUUAAAGUGGUACGCGAGCUGGGUUUAGAACGUCGUGAGACAGUUCGGUCCCUAUCUGCCGUGGGCGCUGGAGAACUGAGGGGGGCUGCUCCUAGUACGAGAGGACCGGAGUGGACGCAUCACUGGUGUUCGGGUUGUCAUGCCAAUGGCACUGCCCGGUAGCUAAAUGCGGAAGAGAUAAGUGCUGAAAGCAUCUAAGCACGAAACUUGCCCCGAGAUGAGUUCUCCCUGAC
RNAcentral lists this ribosomal RNA (2802 nucleotides) under Escherichia coli. RNAcentral describes it as "bacterial LSU rRNA". It matches the Rfam family "Bacterial large subunit ribosomal RNA". Lineage: Bacteria; Pseudomonadati; Pseudomonadota; Gammaproteobacteria; Enterobacterales; Enterobacteriaceae. The record is from RNAcentral.